This is a long non-coding RNA of Solanum dulcamara, 620 nucleotides long. RefSeq lists it as uncharacterized. The transcript is spliced from 3 exons. NCBI's taxonomy places the organism in Eukaryota, Viridiplantae, Streptophyta, Magnoliopsida, Solanales, Solanaceae. The record is from RefSeq and is a predicted model, not a curated record.
AUAGCCACCGACUGAUCAUCUAUAAUUUGCAUCGCCUUCAUCUCCUCUAACUUUUUCUUUUCAAUAAUCUUUUCCUAUGGGUUUACCAGUAUUCCAAGUUGACUCCUAAAAGACUUGGGCAAAUAUUCAAAGCUAAAAUAUGUUGAUGUUUAAACAAACUAUUUAGAUGGUAGCAUUCCACCAAGUGUAUGUUCGGUUGGGGUGUUACAAAGGUUGAUCUUUUUUUCGUAUAAUAUCACUGGUGGACUAUCUCCAUCACUUUCCAAUUGUUCCUCUCUUGUUUGGCUCCGUAUCGAAGACAAUUUAUUCUCAGGGAAGGACACCUUGAUAAAUCAAGCCUCUGAUGAAGCUAAAAGUUCAGACUCCCUGAAUGAGGACUCCUACAAAGUUGUCGAUGGCACCUUAAUUAUGCUUAUAUUAGAAUUCUAUUCAUCUGCAUUUACACUUCUGCACAUUAUUAUUUUUGGGCCCGUGCUGGCACGGGCUCCUACACUCUAGAAUCAAUAAGAAAAGGAUAAAAGAAAGAAAAUAUUAUAAUAAAUAUGUUUUUAAAUGAAUAUAAAAAUCAUUUACAAAGAAUCAUGCACUAUCAACACUUUACAUAACAUAAUACAAAAUUU